AGAGUUUGAUCCUGGCUCAGGACGAACGCUGGCGGCGUGCCUAACACAUGCAAGUCGAACGGGGUUGAGUGCUUCGGUAUUCAACCUAGUGGCGAACGGGUGAGUAACGCGUGAAGAACCUGCCUUUCAGUGGGGGACAACAGUUGGAAACGACUGCUAAUACCGCAUGACACUUCUGAGUGGCAUCACUUAGAAGUCAAAGCUUAAUGUGCUGAAAGAUGGCUUCGCGUCUGAUUAGCUAGAUGGCGGGGUAACGGCCCACCAUGGCGACGAUCAGUAGCCGGUCUGAGAGGAUGAACGGCCACAUUGGGACUGAGAUACGGCCCAGACUCCUACGGGAGGCAGCAGUGGGGAAUAUUGGGCAAUGGGGGAAACCCUGACCCAGCAACGCCGCGUGAAGGAAGAAGGCCUUCGGGUUGUAAACUUCUUUUACCAGGGACGAAGGACGUGACGGUACCUGGAGAAAAAGCAACGGCUAACUACGUGCCAGCAGCCGCGGUAAUACGUAGGUUGCAAGCGUUGUCCGGAUUUACUGGGUGUAAAGGGCGUGUAGGCGGAGAUGCAAGUUGGGAGUGAAAUCCCGGGGCUCAACCCCGGAACUGCUUUCAAAACUGUAUUCCUUGAGUAUCGGAGAGGCAAGCGGAAUUCCUAGUGUAGCGGUGAAAUGCGUAGAUAUUAGGAGGAACACCAGUGGCGAAGGCGGCUUGCUGGACGACAACUGACGCUGAGGCGCGAAAGCGUGGGGAGCAAACAGGAUUAGAUACCCUGGUAGUCCACGCUGUAAACGAUGAAUAGUAGGUGUGGGAGGAAUGACCCUUUCCGUGCGGCAGUUAACACAAUAAGUAUUCCACCUGGGGAGUACGACCGCAAGGUUGAAACUCAAAGGAAUUGACGGGGGCCCGCACAAGCAGUGGAUUAUGUGGUUUAAUUGGACGCAACGCGAAGAACCUUACCAGGAUUUGACAUCCCAAUAACGAAGUAGAGAUACAUUAGGUGCCCUUCGGGGAAAGUGGAGACAGGUGGUGCAUGAUAGUCGUCAGCUCGUCUCGUGAGAUGAUGGGUUAAGUCCUGCAACGAGCGCAACCCCUAUUGAUAGUUGCUACGAAAGAGCACUUUAGCGAGACUGCCGUUGACAACACGGAGGAAGGCGGGGACGACGUCAAAUCAUCAUGCCCGUUAUGUCAUGGGCUACACACGUAAUACAAUGGUGGCCAACGAGAGGGAAGCAAGACUGUGAAGUGGAGCAAAUCCCUAAAAGCCAUCUCAGUUCGGAUUACAGGCUGCAAAUCGCCUGCAUGAAGGUGGAAAUGCUAGUAAUCGCGGAUCAGCAUGCCGCGGAGAAUACGUUCACCGGGCCUUGUACACACCGCCCGUC
RNAcentral lists this ribosomal RNA (1375 nucleotides) under uncultured bacterium. Its description in RNAcentral is "bacterial SSU rRNA". It matches the Rfam family "Bacterial small subunit ribosomal RNA". The record is from RNAcentral.